This 253-nucleotide ribosomal RNA is filed under the name uncultured bacterium. RNAcentral's name for it is "partial 16S ribosomal RNA". It matches the Rfam family "Bacterial small subunit ribosomal RNA", at positions 57 to 305 of the family's 1533-position model. The record is from RNAcentral.
GCAAGUCAAGGGGAACGCACCUUAGGGUGCAAGUACACUGGCGCACGGGUGAGUAACGCGUGAGAAACCUACCCUAAAGUGGGGGACAACACUCCGAAAGGGGUGCUAAUACCACAUAAUCUAGCCAUUCGCAUGUUUGGCUAAGAUAGGCGGCUUCGGCUGUCGCUUUUGGAUGGUCUCGCGUAUUAUUAGAUAGUUGGUGGGGUAACGGCCUACCAAGUCUUCGAUGAUUAGCCGGCCUGAGAGGGUGGCC